This 391-nucleotide ribosomal RNA is filed under the name uncultured bacterium. RNAcentral's name for it is "bacterial SSU rRNA". It matches the Rfam family "Bacterial small subunit ribosomal RNA", at positions 28 to 421 of the family's 1533-position model. The record is from RNAcentral.
GACGAACGCUGGCGGCGUGCUUAACACAUGCAAGUCGAGCGGUAAGGCCCUUUCGGGGGUACACGAGCGGCGAACGGGUGAGUAACACGUGGGUGACCUGCCCUCAGCUCUGGGAUAAGCCUGGGAAACCGGGUCUAAUACUGGAUAUGACUCCAUGACGCAUGUUGUGGGGUGGAAAGCCUUGUGCGGCUGAGGAUGGGCCCGCGGCCUAUCAGCUUGUUGGUGGGGUGAGGCCUACCAAGGCGACGACGGGUAGCCGGCCUGAGAGGGCGACCGGCCACACUGGGACUGAGACACGGCCCAGACUCCUACGGGAGGCAGCAGUGGGGAAUCUUGCGCAGUGGGCGAAAGCCUGACGCAGCGACGCCGCGUGAGAGAUGACGGCCUGGUG